GACGAACGCUGGCGGCGUGCUUAACACAUGCAAGUCGAACGAUGAAGUUCCUUCGGGAAUGGAUUAGUGGCGAACGGGUGAGAAACACGUGAGAAACCUGCCUUUCAUUUUGGGAUAACUCCGGGAAACCGGAGCUAACACCGAAUACUCCGUCUCGGCGGCAUCGCUGAGCCGGGAAAAAAUUAUGAUGAAAGAUGGUCUCGCGGCCGAUCAGCUAGUUGGUGAGGUAAUGGCUCACCAAGGCGACAACGGGUAGCCGGCCUGAGAGGGCGACCGGCCACACUGGGACUGAGACGCGGCCCAGACUCCUACGGGAGGCAGCAGUGGGGAAUAUUGGGCAAUGGGCGCAAGCCUGACCCAGCGACGCCGCGUGAGGGAUGAAGGCCUUCGGGUUGUAAACCUCUUUCAGUAGGGAAGAAGCGAAAGUGACGGUACCUAAAGAAGAAGCACCGGCUAACUAUGUGCCAGCCGCCGCCGUAA
Molecule: ribosomal RNA, 480 nt
Filed under: uncultured bacterium
Lineage: Bacteria
Description: partial 16S ribosomal RNA
Rfam family: Bacterial small subunit ribosomal RNA
Source: RNAcentral